RNAcentral lists this ribosomal RNA (484 nucleotides) under uncultured bacterium. Its description in RNAcentral is "partial 16S ribosomal RNA". It matches the Rfam family "Bacterial small subunit ribosomal RNA", at positions 30 to 507 of the family's 1533-position model. The record is from RNAcentral.
AUUGAACGCUGGCGGCAGGCCUAAUACAUGCAAGUCGAGCGGACGAAGGGGGCUCGCUCUUGGAUUCAGCUGCGGACGGGCGAGUAAUGACUAGGAAUAUGACCGGUAGUGGGGACUAACGUCAGGUAACGGGAGCUAAUACCGCAUCCGUCAUGAGGGAGAACGUGAUGGAUCUUUAGUCCUCAAGCUAUUUGAUGACCCUAGGUCGGAUUAGCUAGUUGGUGGGGUAAAGGCCUACCAAGGCGACGAUCCGUAACUGGUCUGAGAGGCUGACCGGUCACACUGGAACUGAGACACGGUCCAGACUCCUACGGGAGGCAGCAGUAGGGAAUAUUGGGCAAUGGGCGAAAGCCUGAUCCAGCCAUGCCGCGUGAGUGAAGAAGGUCUUCGGAUUGUAAAGCACUUUAAGUUGGGAAGAAGAAAAGUGAAUGUAUAUCUUGCUGUUUUGACGUUACCAACAGAGAAAGCAACGGCUAACUACGUG